This 292-nucleotide ribosomal RNA is filed under the name uncultured bacterium. RNAcentral describes it as "partial 16S ribosomal RNA". It matches the Rfam family "Bacterial small subunit ribosomal RNA", at positions 505 to 796 of the family's 1533-position model. The record is from RNAcentral.
GUGUCAGCCGCCGCGGUAAGACAGAGGGUGCAAACGUUGUUCGGAAUUACUGGGCGUAAAGCGAGUGUAGGCGGUCCGAUAAGUCGGGUGUGAAAGCCCUGGGCUCAACCCAGGAAGUGCACUCGAAACUGCCGGGCUAGAGUAUCGGAGAGGUUGGUGGAAUUCUCGGUGUAGAGGUGAAAUUCGUAGAUAUCGAGAGGAACACCGGUGGCGAAGGCGGCCAACUGGACGAAUACUGACGCUGAGACUCGAAAGCGUGGGGAGCAAACAGGAUUAGAUACCCUCGUAGUCC